Candoia aspera is the source of this 66-nucleotide small nucleolar RNA. RefSeq annotates it as small nucleolar RNA SNORD24. The transcript has a single exon. The record is from RefSeq and is a predicted model, not a curated record. Lineage: Eukaryota; Metazoa; Chordata; Lepidosauria; Squamata; Candoiidae.
UGCAGAUGAUGGUAGCAAAUACCUGAGCUUUCUUGAUGACUCCCAACCACCAAGAUCGCUGAUGCA